AUUGAACGCUGGCGGCAGGCUUAACACAUGCAAGUCGAGCGGGGUGAUGGUGCUUGCACUAUCACUUAGCGGCGGACGGGUGAGUAAUGCUUAGGAAUCUGCCUAUUAGUGGGGGACAACAUCUCGGAAGGGAUGCUAAUACCGCAUACGUCCUACGGGAGAAAGCAGGGGAUCACUUGUGACCUUGCGCUAAUAGAUGAGCCUAAGUCGGAUUAGCUAGUUGGUGGGGUAAAGGCCUACCAAGGCGACGAUCUGUAGCGGGUCUGAGAGGAUGAUCCGCCACACUGGGAAUGAGACACGGCCCAGACUCCUACGGGAGGCAGCAGUGGGGAAUAUUGGACAAUGGGGGGAACCCUGAUCUAGCCAUGCCGCGUGUGUGAAGAAGGCCUUAUGGUUGUAAAGCACUUUAAGCGAGGAGGAGGCUCUUUUGGUUAAUACCCAAGAUGAGUGGACGUUACUCGCAGAAUAAGCACCGGCUAACUCUGUGCCAGCCGCCGCAGUAA
Molecule: ribosomal RNA, 503 nt
Filed under: uncultured bacterium
Lineage: Bacteria
Description: partial 16S ribosomal RNA
Rfam family: Bacterial small subunit ribosomal RNA
Source: RNAcentral